AUUGAACGCUGGCGGCAUGCUUUACACAUGCAAGUCGAACGGUAACAGGCCGCAAGGUGCUGACGAGUGGCGAACGGGUGAGUAAUGCAUCGGAACGUGCCCAGUCGUGGGGGAUAACUACUCGAAAGAGUAGCUAAUACCGCAUACGAUCUAUGGAUGAAAGCGGGGGACCGUAAGGCCUCGCGCGAUUGGAGCGGCCGAUGUCAGAUUAGGUAGUUGGUGGGGUAAAGGCUCACCAAGCCAACGAUCUGUAGCUGGUCUGAGAGGACGACCAGCCACACUGGGACUGAGACACGGCCCCGACUCCUACGGGAGGCAGCAGUGGGGAAUUUUGGACAAUGGGCGCAAGCCUGAUCCAGCAAUGCCGCGUGCAGGAAGAAGGCCUUCGGGUUGUAAACUGCUUUUGUACGGAACGAAACGGCUCUGGUUAAUACCCGGGGCUAAUGACGGUACCGGAAGAAUAAGCACCGGCUAACUACGUG
This 482-nucleotide ribosomal RNA is filed under the name uncultured bacterium. RNAcentral's name for it is "partial 16S ribosomal RNA". It matches the Rfam family "Bacterial small subunit ribosomal RNA", at positions 30 to 507 of the family's 1533-position model. The record is from RNAcentral.